CACAAUUUGAGGAAGUAUCAGUCAAUAGUCACACUCGAGCGCAUAACAGAGUUAUUUAUAGCUGCCAGUCUAGAGUUUUAACUCAUGCGGGGCCAAGGUUCGAUGUUAUAAACAGCUUUAUUUAUAAUGAUUGCAUGGCUAUAAAUAGUUUGGUUCCCUGGGUGUCACAGAACAACCCGGGACGUGCUGCCAAAACCAGCGCCAGGAAGCGGGCUGCAGCAGGGAGGUGAAUCCUGGUGGUGUUUUUUUGCUUCUCCGAGGACCCUGUCUCUGACGUAUAUUAGGCAGGAUGGUACAGAUCUGAGGGAGCAGCACCCUGUGAGAAACUGACAUCAUUCUGCCCGUCUUGGCAUCCUCCCAGACAUGUGUUGAGCCCCAAGAAGCCUGCACUUAGGAUUAUCAACAUCAUUACCAUUAUUAUCAUUACUGCAACUCUGGCUAAGGGAGUUGUGAGUUGCAUCCUAUUUGAACGUCUCCCACUGGAUUGGAAGAAAGCAAUGAGGGCCUCCUAAGUAAGCUAACAAUCACGCUGCAGUGGAGGUGAAUCAUGGGCUCCGAGACCCAAUGCCACAGGACUCUGACCUGGGUGCGGGGGAGGGCAUCCCGGAGAAGGUGGCCUCCACAUUGAAUCCUACAGGUGGUUCCUUCGGGUGGUGAUUGUGCCUUUUUGUUUCUGUACAGACACCUGCUGGCAUAGUAGGGAUAUGGUAAAUCUUUGUAGAGAGAGUUAAUGAAGGUGUAUUUUUCUUGGAAUUUGACAGUCCCUCUGGAACACUAUGUCAUACAUUAGCAAUACAUAAAAAAACCCCAUGAAUUUAAAUGGUUAAAAAUGAAAAAUAAGAGAGAGGAGAGAGAGAUUUGUGGAGUGUGUGCACUGGAGCAGAAUGAGGACCCCCAUCUGACUGGGGCUCUGGAAUUCCUAAACAAAAUGAUCAACUCCCUAUUGGGAGUCGGCCCUUACGUGGCAAGAAUAUGCAAGGCCAAGGUGUAGGAAAUGAAAUGGAGCAAUGAGCAUGUUGAAGUGAAUUGGUCUGAGUGGCCUGAAA
Cercocebus atys (sooty mangabey) is the source of this 1046-nucleotide long non-coding RNA. RefSeq lists it as uncharacterized. The record is from RefSeq and is a predicted model, not a curated record. The transcript has 3 exons. Lineage: Eukaryota; Metazoa; Chordata; Mammalia; Primates; Cercopithecidae.